GUAGGAGGCAAGCGUUAUCCGGAUUCACUGGGCGUAAAGCGCGUGCAGGUGGCGCGGUAAGUUGGGUGUGAAAUCUCCCGGCUCAACUGGGAGAGGUCAUUCAAUACUACCGUGCUUGAGAGCAGAAGAGGAAGAUGGAAUUCCCGGUGUAGUGGUGAAAUGCGUAGAUAUCGGGAGGAACACCAGUGGCGAAGGCGAUCUUCUGGUCUGUUUCUGACACUCAUACGCGACAGCUAGGGUAGUAAACGGGAUUAGAGACCCCGGUAAUCCUAGCCGUAAACGAUGUGAACUUGGCGUUGGUGGGUUAAACUCCAUCAGUGCCGCAGCAAACGCGAUAAGUUCACCGCCUGGGGACUACGGCCGCAAGGUUA
This 371-nucleotide ribosomal RNA is filed under the name uncultured bacterium. RNAcentral's name for it is "bacterial SSU rRNA". It matches the Rfam family "Bacterial small subunit ribosomal RNA", at positions 527 to 896 of the family's 1533-position model. The record is from RNAcentral.